Papaver somniferum (opium poppy) is the source of this 1060-nucleotide long non-coding RNA. RefSeq lists it as uncharacterized. The transcript is spliced from 2 exons. The record is from RefSeq and is a predicted model, not a curated record. NCBI's taxonomy places the organism in Eukaryota, Viridiplantae, Streptophyta, Magnoliopsida, Ranunculales, Papaveraceae.
CCAAAAAGAAUAAACAUAUUUUUCAAGCUGAACAAUAAGACUUUGCAAGAUGAAUAUGAUUUGAUUCUCACCUUUUUAUUUCAAGAAUAAAAAAGAAAAGGAUAAGCAACAUCAAUUGGGUUUGGGGAACUUCUCUCAAACACUUGUUCCGCUUCUCUAUUUUCAAACCCUAACAAGAAUAGCAGAGAAAACCAUUGUCGCUUCCUCUUCUUACUCAGAUUUAGUCCAUUAUGGACUAGAUCUGAGUAGGAAUUCGUCAAUAGAGUUUAGUUCUUACCUUUUUAUCAUCAUUAUAUAAGUUUUUACCACUUUUUUGGUUUUUUCUCAAAACCCAAAAUCAAAAUUCCACCAUGAAUUUCUGCAUUUUCUCUAGCUAAACCUCAAUUCCACCGUUCCUUGAGAUGUUGCGAGUUAUAUUAGCUAAUAGAUAGUGGUUUGAUCAUGUUUCAUUCGCUGAUAUUUUGAUGGAAUAAUUACAAUUGUCCUGUUUUGGAUUUCUGCUGGAGAUUCCUAUUUGGGACCCUAGUCAUGUUAUUCAAAUCUCUUCGGCGUCGGUUGUAUUUCCUCAUCUUCAGCAACAUCCUAAUCAUGUGCCUGUUUCAUCAGUUUCAUUAUUAGUGGCAGUAACCUCGGUCUUCUCUAGAAAUCACCACCUGCUGAACCAAAACGGAGAAAACGGAGAUAGACAGUUAUUUUCCGGGAAGUUCAACUCAGCAUAUGGAUGCAAUCGCCUGACUAGCAGCUUCUACGAAGCGCAUCGAGCACCCCUACCAUCAACUAAACCCUUAUGGACUCUGUCGUGUCCAUCAAAAGGACAACUUUUCUUGUGGAAAGCAUUAAACGGAUGCCUUCUGACCUUUGGCUCCAACAUCUCCCCCGAUGCAAUUCUGAUCCGAAGACCGUUUCCCUCGCUCUGCCCCAUUGUUUUGCUAUUUCGGAUUCAUGUCGUAUCAUUACAAAUGUAACUGGUGAAUCUCUGGGUAUCAUAUACCACCGUGUAAUAGCCCUUUUAAGGUUUUCAAUAAAAUGCAUGCGUCAGAAAAAUGGAUUUGGGCAUUUA